UUGAAUUUUAAUGAAGAGUUUGGUUGUAGCUGGCCCAUUCAUUUGGGCAUGUGCACACCUUCCUCUUUCAUCCCACACACACCUGUGAACCUGUGAGACAGAGAUGGGGAAUUUACUUGCUGCUUUUGGAAUACAGAGGCAAUAGGUUAUUGGACCCCCCCUCUGUCUACUCAAUUAAUAUAAACUCAAUUUAUUUUAAAACGAAUGUAAUGGAUGUAACACAUCUCAUAC
RNAcentral lists this unclassified non-coding RNA (231 nucleotides) under soil metagenome. RNAcentral's name for it is "partial internal transcribed spacer 1". The record is from RNAcentral.